GAUGAACGCUAGCUACAGGCUUAACACAUGCAAGUCGAGGGGCAGCAGAUCGAAAGCUUGCUUUUGAUGCUGGCGACCGGCGCACGGGUGAGUAACGCGUAUCCAACCUUCCCCAUCGUAGGGCACAGCCCGGCGAAAGUCGGAUUAAUUCCCUAUGUUGUUCAGAGAGGACAUCUGACCUGGCCGAAAGAUUCAUCGCUAUGGGAUGGGGAUGCGUCUGAUUAGGUUGCAGGCGGGGUAACGGCCCACCUGGCCGACGAUCAGUAGGGGUUCUGAGAGGAAGGUCCCCCACAUUGGAACUGAGACACGGUCCAAACUCCUACGGGAGGCAGCAGUGAGGAAUAUUGGUCAAUGGACGGAAGUCUGAACCAGCCAAGUAGCGUGCAGGAAGACGGCCCUAUGGGUUGUAAACUGCUUUUAUCAGGGGAUAAAGUGAGGUAUGUAUACCUUUUUGCAUGUACCUGAUGAAUAAGGACCGGCUAAUUCCGUGCCAGCAGCCGCCGUAAUAC
Molecule: ribosomal RNA, 509 nt
Filed under: uncultured bacterium
Lineage: Bacteria
Description: bacterial SSU rRNA
Rfam family: Bacterial small subunit ribosomal RNA
Source: RNAcentral